UGGGGAAUAUUGCACAAUGGGCGAAAGCCUGAUGCAGCAACGCCGCGUGAGUGAUGAAGGCCUUCGGGUUGUAAAGCUCUGUCUUUUGGGACGAUAAUGACGGUACCAAAGGAGGAAGCCACGGCUAACUACGUGCCAGCAGCCGCGGUAAUACGUAGGUGGCAAGCGUUGUCCGGAUUUACUGGGCGUAAAGGAUGCGUAGGCGGAUUUUUAAGUGAGAUGUGAAAACCCUAAGCUUAACUUGGGGACUGCAUUUCAUACUGGAAAUCUAGAGUGCGGGAGAGGAGAAUGGAAUUCCUAGUGUAGCGGUGAAAUGCGUAGAGAUUAGGAAGAACACCAGUGGCGAAGGCGAUUCUCUGGACCGUAACUGACGCUGAGGCAUGAAAGCGUGGGUAGCAAACAGGAUUAGAUACCCUGGUAGUCCACGCCGUAAACGAUGAGUACUAGGUGUAGGAGGUAUCGACCCCUUCUGUGCCGCAGUUAACACAAUAAGUACUCCGCCUGGGAAGUACGAUCGCAAGAUUAAAAACUCAAAGGAAUUGACGGGGGUCAUAGCUGUUUU
This 562-nucleotide ribosomal RNA is filed under the name uncultured bacterium. RNAcentral describes it as "partial 16S ribosomal RNA". It matches the Rfam family "Bacterial small subunit ribosomal RNA", at positions 355 to 936 of the family's 1533-position model. The record is from RNAcentral.